AUGAAUGAAGCUCCAUUGGCGCCGUAUUCGGAGGAGGAAGUUAAACGGGCGUUGUUCAGUAUCGGUGAUCUAAAAGCGCGCGUCCCAGACGGGCUACAUGCGAUCUUUUAUAAGAAGUUUUGGCACCUAUUGGGCCAAGAUUUGGUGAAGGAGGUUUUGGAGGCAGUGAACAAUGGAGUUAUACCUCCGGGAUGGAAUACUACCACUAUUGUUUUGAUCCCAAAGGUGGAAAACCCGGAGAAAGUAGCGGAGUUUAGGCCUAUUAGCCUUUGUAACGUAGUUUACAAGGUUAUCUCAAAGAUGUUGGCAGCAAGGUUAAAAGUCUUUCUUCCAGAGAUUAUCAGUGAGACACAAAGCGCCUUUGUACCAGGGCGGAUCAUCACGGAUAAUGUCAUUGUGGCGUAUGAAUGCCUCCAUACAAUGAAGAAGAAGAAGAAAGGGAAGAUAGGAACGUGUGCAGUAAAACUUGACAUGCAUAAAGCCUAUGACCGGGUUGAAUGGGUAUUUCUGAAGGCAAUCCUGGGCAGAUUGGGCUUUGAUGAAAGAUGGAUUGAUCUAAUCAUGGCUUGUGUGACAUCUGUUGAAUACAAGGUGCGGUUCAACUCAAAUGAGACUGGCACGUUUAACCCAACAAGAGGUUUAAGGCAAGGGGACCCUCUUUCCCCCUACUUAUUCCUACUUUGUGUUGAGGGCCUCUCAAAUCUGAUUGCACAUGAGGAGGAGGCAGGAAAUUUAAAAGGGGUUCAGGUGUGUCCUGAUUCACCGUUUAUUUCACAUUUACUAUUUGCUGAUGACUCUUUGAUCUUGAUGAGGGCUGACCUAGAAAAUGCAAACACCCUCAAACAAAUACUGGAUGACUACUGUUCGGCCUCCGGACAGAUGGUGAGUGCAGCAAAAUCGUCAAUUUAUUUCAGCCCCAAUACUGAUGUGGACAGUAAAGUGGGCGUAUGUCAAACUUUGGAUAUCAUGACGGAAUCACUCUCGGAUAAAUACUUGGGUCUCCCCUCCAUGAUUGGGGUGGACCGAGUGGACUGUUUUAAGCACAUCAUCGAGAGGAUCCAGAAGAUGAUCAAUGGAUGGAAGGAGAGGACCCUGUCCUAUGGUGGUAAAGAAGCUUUAAUCAAGGCGGUGGCCCAAGCCAUCCCUACGUAUGCGAUGAGUUUUUUCAAAUUCCCGAAAAAAAUUUGCAAGGGGAUCACUGAUGCCAUUUUGCAUUACUAGUGGGGUGACGGGGAAAACCAACGUAACAUGCAUUGGUUCGCUUGGUGGAAGAUGUGCAUUCCUAAGGAAAGAGGGGGCAUGGGGUUUCGUGAUGUCCAUAGCUUUAAUUUGGCACUCCUAGCUAAACAGGUUUGGAGGCUUGUUGAGCACCAUGACUCAUUGUGUGCAAGGGUGCUCCGUUCAAAAUACUACCCAACGGGAGAAUUGCUGAAUUGUGAGCUCAAGAAGGGGGCCUCUUUUGUGUGGCAAAGCAUAUGGGCAGGAGCCCAAACUUUCAAGAAAGGGUGUAUAUGGAGGGUUGGUAACGGCUUGAAGUUGAAUAUUUGGGAAGAUUGCUGGAUUCCCAACAGCUCAACAAGGAAAAUUGUGAUGCCCCGAGGAAACAGAGUUUUAACUCGAGUUAAUGAACUUAUCGACCCAGGCUCUGGGGAAUGGGAUGAAUAG
RNAcentral lists this ribosomal RNA (1665 nucleotides) under Triticum aestivum (bread wheat). RNAcentral's name for it is "partial small subunit ribosomal RNA". Lineage: Eukaryota; Viridiplantae; Streptophyta; Magnoliopsida; Poales; Poaceae. The record is from RNAcentral.